Patiria miniata (bat star) is the source of this 283-nucleotide long non-coding RNA. RefSeq lists it as uncharacterized. The record is from RefSeq and is a predicted model, not a curated record. The transcript has 3 exons. Lineage: Eukaryota; Metazoa; Echinodermata; Asteroidea; Valvatida; Asterinidae.
UCCCUUUCACUCCUCUGACGAAGAGGGCGGGCUACCAUGAGACUGAGUGGGAACACGUUCAACAUCAACACGGUACAGCCUGGAUUUCUGUUCCAAAAUCCCGUUUUACCUGCCAGCGAAAAGUUCCCUCUUCGCAAGGUGUGACGAGUCCAGCUGGGAUCAGCUGUGUCCAAUUUCCCCUGGAUUCUAAAACUUGAAGGACCGCAGCCUAGCCGGGAAGCAGAGCUCAACUUCGUGACUUCUGUGUGCGUCAGUAGACACGUGCGGUCGGAGUCCGAAAUCU